GAAUUUUGGACAAUGGGCGAAAGCCUGAUCCAGCAAUGCCGCGUGCAGGAUGAAGGCCUUCGGGUUGUAAACUGCUUUUGUACGGAACGAAAAGCUGUGGGUUAAUACCCUGGCGUCAUGACGGUACCGGAAGAAUAAGCAACGGCUAACCAGGUUGCCGACGCCGCGGGAAUACGUAGGGUGCAAGCGUUAAUCGGCAGUACUGGGCGUAAAGCGUGCGCAGGCGGUUUUGUAAGACAGAGGUGAAAUCCCCGGGCUCAACCUGGGAACUGCCUUUGUGACUGCAAGGCUAGAGUACGGCAGAGGGGGGUGGAAUUCCGCGUGUAGCAGUGAAAUGCGUAGAUAUGCGGAGGAACACCGAUGGCGAAGGCAACCCCCUGGGCCUGUACUGACGCUCAUGCACGAAAGCGUGGGGAGCAAAC
RNAcentral lists this ribosomal RNA (422 nucleotides) under uncultured bacterium. RNAcentral's name for it is "partial 16S ribosomal RNA". It matches the Rfam family "Bacterial small subunit ribosomal RNA", at positions 359 to 773 of the family's 1533-position model. The record is from RNAcentral.